Molecule: ribosomal RNA, 478 nt
Filed under: uncultured bacterium
Lineage: Bacteria
Description: partial 16S ribosomal RNA
Rfam family: Bacterial small subunit ribosomal RNA
Source: RNAcentral
GAUGAACGCUGGCGGCGUGCUUAACACAUGCAAGUCGAACGAGAAGUGAAGACGGAAACCUUCGGGCGGAAGGCUUUAUUUCGAGUGGCGGACGGGUGAGUAACGCGUGGGUAACCUGCCUCAUACAGGGGGAUAACAGUUGGAAACGACUGUUAAUACCGCAUAAGACCACAGCACCGCAUGGUGCGGGGGUAAAAACUCCGGUGGUAUGAGAUGGACCCGCGUUCGAUUGGACAGUUGGCGGGGUAACGGCCCACCAAAGCGACGAUCGAUAGCCGGUCAGAGAGGAUGGCCCGCCACAUCGGGACUAGGACGCAGUCCGGACUCCUGCAGGAUGCAGCAGUGGGGAAUACUGCACUAUGGGGGGAGUCCUGAUGCAGCUACGCCGCGUGAGUGAUGAAGUAUUGCGGUAUGUGAAGCUCUAUCAGCAGGCACGAUUAUGACGGUACCUGAGUAAGAAGCCCCGGCUAACUACGUG